Molecule: ribosomal RNA, 402 nt
Filed under: uncultured bacterium
Lineage: Bacteria
Description: bacterial SSU rRNA
Rfam family: Bacterial small subunit ribosomal RNA
Source: RNAcentral
UGGGGAAUCUUGCACAAUGGGGGCAACCCUGAUGCAGCGACGCCGCGUGAGCGAUGAAGCCCUUCGGGGCGUAAAGCUCUUUCGACCGGAACGAUAAUGACGGUACCGGGAGAAGAAGCUGCGGCUAACUACGUGCCAGCAGCCGCGGUAAUACGUAGGCAGCAGGCGUUGUUCGGAGUUACUGGGCGUAAAGAGUGCGUAGGCGGUUUUCUAAGUUCGGUGUGAAAUCUCCCGGCUUAACUGGGAGGGUGCGCCGAAGACUGGGAAGCUGGAGUGUGGGAAAGGCAGGCGGAAUUCCUGGUGUAGCGGUGAAAUGCGUAGAUAUUAGGAGGAACACCGGCGGUGUAGACGGCUUGCUAGACCAUAACUGACGCUGAGGCACGAAAGCGUGGGUAGCAAACA